RNAcentral lists this ribosomal RNA (1241 nucleotides) under Rhodotorula diobovata. RNAcentral describes it as "SSU rRNA". It matches the Rfam family "Eukaryotic small subunit ribosomal RNA", at positions 477 to 1756 of the family's 1831-position model. Lineage: Eukaryota; Fungi; Basidiomycota; Microbotryomycetes; Sporidiobolales; Sporidiobolaceae. The record is from RNAcentral.
UACCAUUGCAGGGCUUCUACGGUCUUGCAAUUGGAAUGAGUACAAUUUAAAUCCUUACGAGGAUCAAUUGGAGGGCAAGUUCUGGUGCAGCAGCGCGUAAUUCCAGCUCCAAAAGCGUUAAUUAAAGUGUUGCCGUUAAAAAGCUCGUAGUCGAACUUCGGGUCCUGUCCGCCGGUCGCUUCUUGGUGUGUACUUGUUGGAUGGGACCUUACCUCUGGUGAACGGCGAUGUCCUUACUGGGUGUCGUCGCAAACCAGGACGUUUACUUUGAAAAAAUUAGAGUGUUCAAAGCAGGCCUUUGCCCGAAUACAUUAGCAUGGAAUAAUAGAAUAGGACGCGCGUUCCCAUUUUGUUGGUUUCUGAGAUCGCCGUAAUGAUUAAUAGGGAUAGUUGGGGGCAUUUGUAUUCCGACGUCAGAGGUGAAAUUCUUGGAUUGCCGGAAGACAAACUACUGCGAAAGCAUUUGCCAAGGAUGUUUUCAUUGAUCAAGAACGAAGGAAGGGGGAUCGAAAACGAUUAGAUACCGUUGUAGUCUCUUCUGUAAACUAUGCCAAUUGGGGAUCGGCACAGGAUUUUUAAUGACUGUGUCGGCACCCGAAGAGAAAUCUUUAAAUGAGGUUCGGGGGGGAGUAUGGUCGCAAGGCUGAAACUUAAAGGAAUUGACGGAAGGGCACCACCAGGUGUGGAGCCUGCGGCUUAAUUUGACUCAACACGGGGAAACUCACCAGGUCCAGACACAAUAAGGAUUGACAGAUUGAUAGCUCUUUCUUGAUCUUGUGGUUGGUGGUGCAUGGCCGUUCUUAGUUGGUGGAGUGAUUUGUCUGGUUAAUUCCGAUAACGAACGAGACCUUAACCUGCUAAAUAGACCAGCCGGCUUUGGCUAGCUGCUGUCUUCUUAGAGGGACUAUCAGCGUUUAGCUGAUGGAAGUUUGAGGCAAUAACAGGUCUGUGAUGCCCUUAGAUGUUCUGGGCCGCACGCGCGCUACACUGACAGAGCCAGCGAGUCUACCACCUUUGCCGGAAGGCAUGGGUAAUCUUGUGAAACUCUGUCGUGAUGGGGAUAGAACAUUGCAAUUAUUGUUCUUCAACGAGGAAUACCUAGUAAGCGUGAUUCAUCAGAUCGCGUUGAUUACGUCCCUGCCCUUUGUACACACCGCCCGUCGCUACUACCGAUUGAAUGGCUUAGUGAGGCCUCCGGAUUGGCUAUGGGAGCUCGCGAGAGCAUCCGACCCCCAAAAAUA